Myotis lucifugus (little brown bat) is the source of this 74-nucleotide microRNA precursor. It matches the Rfam family "mir-9193 microRNA precursor family". Lineage: Eukaryota; Metazoa; Chordata; Mammalia; Chiroptera; Vespertilionidae. The record is from Rfam.
AGUGCGCCCAGGGGGGUCCCUCAGCCCAGAUUGUGAGAGGGCACAGGCCAGGCUGAGGGACCCACUGGUGCAUG